This 70-nucleotide transfer RNA is filed under the name Bos taurus (domestic cattle). It matches the Rfam family "tRNA". Rfam says of the family: Transfer RNA (tRNA) molecules are approximately 80 nucleotides in length. Their secondary structure includes four short double-helical elements and three loops (D, anti-codon, and T loops). Lineage: Eukaryota; Metazoa; Chordata; Mammalia; Artiodactyla; Bovidae. RNAcentral also lists the same sequence under 4 other names. The record is from Rfam by way of RNAcentral.
CCAAUCAUGGCUCAGAUGGUAAAGCGUCUGCCUACAAUGCGGGAGACCCGGGUUCAAUCCCUGGAUUGGG